GCCCGCUUGGCGGAAUUGGUAGACGCAACGGACUUAAAAUCCGUUAUCCGAAAGGGUGUGCGGGUUCAAGUCCCGCCCCGGGCACCA
This 87-nucleotide transfer RNA is filed under the name Rhodospirillaceae bacterium. Its description in RNAcentral is "tRNA-Leu". It matches the Rfam family "tRNA". Rfam says of the family: Transfer RNA (tRNA) molecules are approximately 80 nucleotides in length. Their secondary structure includes four short double-helical elements and three loops (D, anti-codon, and T loops). The record is from RNAcentral. Lineage: Bacteria; Pseudomonadati; Pseudomonadota; Alphaproteobacteria; Rhodospirillales; Rhodospirillaceae.